Molecule: long non-coding RNA, 968 nt
Organism: Eriocheir sinensis (Chinese mitten crab)
Lineage: Eukaryota; Metazoa; Arthropoda; Malacostraca; Decapoda; Varunidae
Exons: 3
Source: RefSeq, a predicted model, not a curated record
AGAAGGGAGAUUAGAUUGGGAGACGAGUGAGCCGAGAUCCUGUUUAUAUUCAAGUUCACAAAUUUGACAAGACUAUUCAGGAAAAGCUGUGUUUAUGAUAUGAAGGAAAGGGAAGAGAAAGGAGAUGAGUAAGCUGAGAUUCUGUUUAUAUUCAAGUCCACAAAUUUGACGACACAAUACAGGAAAAGCUCUUUGUAUUUAGUGUGUCAUCGAAGACCGCGCCAUUUUGAACAGUAUGGGAUUCUAUAGCUUGGUUCGGGAGUGUUACAAAGACCAUGAUGGACUGUGGAAGCGGCCCUUAAUGUUCCCUUUUCUAAUAUGCCUCUCUGUUUUUGCAGGAUGCCGCGGACGGACCAUGCAGAGGACUCAUCGCGACGACACCGACGGUUUGGUUAAGUGGGUUCUUUUGUGUGUGCGUCUGUGUGUGAAUGGCAGGCCUGUCGUAUGAUUGUGUGUGUGUGCGUUGGCGUUAUGCCUUCGCACUAUUAUUUUGUUAGGAUGUAUUUUUUUGUGUGUGAACUUUUUGCACGUAAUCUUUUUUUAUACCCAUAGCUAGCGUUUGUUUGUGUGGCAGUGUUCCGGGAGAUGGACGCCGGGGGACAUGGGCUUGGGGAGGCGCACAUGACCUCCUCUGUCCGUGACCUCUUCAGCUGGGGAGACCGUGUGUUGCCCCGCCUGGAGAGACACGUUGAUGGAGGUGGCCGUGUGUGUCACCCUUUGCCUGUAUCCUCUGGCGCCCAGAGGCGCGUAAGUGGAGAGCAUCGGCGCAGCGCGGGAGCAGCACGUCAGGGUGUAGGGUGUUUUUUUAGCUGGUGUAGGGUGUUAGGGUGUUAGGGUGUUAGGUGUAACAACGGUUGGCUCUUUCACAGAACGGGUGUGAUUCCGUUCUGCGUUUGAGUCUUCCACCUUCAGACGGUCUCCCUCCGAGAUGUCUGAAGUUUUUUUGUCGGUUUUCUCCGUAGGAGGAA